UAAUAAAAGUGGAGCAACGGUCUUACGUGAAGUGGGUCAGGGGAGGAAUCCAGCAGCCCUAAGCGGUGUAGAGCGUGUGCUCUUUUUUAUAUCUU
Molecule: signal recognition particle RNA, 95 nt
Filed under: Streptococcus sciuri
Lineage: Bacteria; Bacillati; Bacillota; Bacilli; Lactobacillales; Streptococcaceae
Description: signal recognition particle sRNA small type
Rfam family: Bacterial small signal recognition particle RNA
About the family: The signal recognition particle (SRP) is a universally conserved ribonucleoprotein involved in the co-translational targeting of proteins to membranes. Archaeal SRP consists of a 7S RNA and homologues of the eukaryotic SRP19 and SRP54 proteins.
Source: RNAcentral